Molecule: non-coding RNA, 30 nt
Filed under: Rattus norvegicus (Norway rat)
Lineage: Eukaryota; Metazoa; Chordata; Mammalia; Rodentia; Muridae
Source: RNAcentral
UGGUCCUCCCUACACACUUCUAAGGAAGCU